GACGAACGCUGGCGGCGUGCUUAACACAUGCAAGUCGAACGGGUCUGCCCUGUUUUUUGCGGGGUGGGUCAGUGGCGAACGGGUGAGUAACACGUGAGUAACCUGCCCCUCACUUCUGGAUAACCGCUUGAAAGGGUGGCUAAUACGGGGUGUUCUGGCUGUGCCGCAUGGUGUGGCUGGGAAAGAUUCACUUUUGUGGUGUUUUGGUGAGGGAUGGGCUCGCGGCCUAUCAGCUUGUUGGUGGGGUGAUGGCCUGCCAAGGCUUUGACGGGUAGCCGGCCUGAGAGGGUGGGCGGUCACACUGGGACUGAGAUACGGCCCAGACUCCUGCGGGAGGCAGCAGUGGGGGGUAUUGCACAAUGGGCGGAAGCCUGAUGCAGCGACGUCGCGUGAGGGAUGGAGGCCUUCGGGUUGUGAACCUCUUUCGCCGGUGAAGAAGGUCCUGCUCUUUGUGGUGGGGUUGACGGUAGCCGGGUUAUGAAGCGCCGGCUAACUACGUG
This 500-nucleotide ribosomal RNA is filed under the name uncultured bacterium. RNAcentral's name for it is "partial 16S ribosomal RNA". It matches the Rfam family "Bacterial small subunit ribosomal RNA", at positions 28 to 507 of the family's 1533-position model. The record is from RNAcentral.